This 497-nucleotide ribosomal RNA is filed under the name uncultured bacterium. Its description in RNAcentral is "partial 16S ribosomal RNA". It matches the Rfam family "Bacterial small subunit ribosomal RNA", at positions 28 to 507 of the family's 1533-position model. The record is from RNAcentral.
GAUGAACGCUGGCGGCGUGCCUAAUACAUGCAAGUCGAGCGAACAGACGAGGAGCUUGCUCCUCUGACGUUAGCGGCGGACGGGUGAGUAACACGUGGAUAACCUACCUAUAAGACUGGGAUAACUUCGGGAAACCGGAUCUAAUACCGGAUAAUAUAUUGAACCGCAUGGUUCAAUAGUGAAAGACGGUUUUGCUGUCACUUAUAGAUGGAUCCGCGCCGCAUUAGCUAGUUGGUAAGGUAACGGCUUACCAAGGCAACGAUGCGUAGCCGACCUGAGAGGGUGAUCGGCCACACUGGAACUGAGACACGGUCCAGACUCCUACGGGAGGCAGCAGUAGGGAAUCGUCCGCAAUGGGCGAAAGCCUGACGGAGCAACGCCGCGUGAGUGAUGAAGGUCUUCGGAUCGUAAAACUCUGUUAUUAGGGAAGAACAAAUGUGUAAGUAACUAUGCACGUCUUGACGGUACCUAAUCAGAAAGCCACGGCUAACUACGUG